This is a non-coding RNA of Brachypodium distachyon (stiff brome), 138 nucleotides long. The record is from Rfam. Lineage: Eukaryota; Viridiplantae; Streptophyta; Magnoliopsida; Poales; Poaceae.
UGUCUACUCCCUCCGUCCAACAAAGGAUGUCUCAACUUUGACUAAAUUUGAAUGCAUCUAUACACUAAGUCACACAUCUAGAUACAUCCAAAAUUUAACAAACUUGAAACAUCUUUUGUUGGACGGAGGGAGUAUGAU